UAGGUCCCAUAGCUCUCUGAGGUCGCCUCCAUCUUAACUUUCCACAGCCAGGACACAUCUUGGGCAAAGCUGCCUCAUAAGCAAACGAUUGUCUCCUGCUUUGCUAGCUCACUCCUUCUGAAGAAGCUGACAAUUAUCCAACAUCCCAUUGCCAGCUGGCUUCAGCCAAUAGAAUUGCGGCAUGCAAAUAGAGCAUCUGCAGCUACUCUGGGUCAGGCUAUACUGCAAAGUAGGAGGAAUUUCCUCUAAGAGGCGGAAAUUCAGCUCUUAGAUGGGGGGAAAAUGAAAAAAAAAAUCAGAAAUAUUUUUUUAUGUUGGCGGCAUUUCUGCUGCUCCUUGGCAUGAAGGAAAGAAGGAGAAUGUUGACGGGUAUUCUUUCUUCCAAAGUGCACUGCAUAUAGGAAGGAGAUUUGAACACAGACACGCACAGGAGGGAGACCAUGUGAAAAUUCCAGGAGAAGGCGGCCAUCUACAAGUCAAAGGAGAGAGACCUUAGAGGAAACCAACCAUGCUGACACCUUGACCGCAGACUCCCAGCCUCCAGAACUGUGAGAAAGCUUCUUCAUGCGCUGUGCUCCUUCUCUUGUUUCUGGAAGGGCAACUCCUCAACACCCUGCCUUCCAACCAGCUGGGCAGAAGAGGAAGACCUUGGGUCUUCCUUCAAGACUGGGAAACACCCAGGGGCACCUUACGUGAGGAGUGUGGUGGUCCUGGAGGGGAGAAGAUGCUUCCUGGAAGAGACUUUCCUAUCCUGGCCAGGUUGCUGCUCCUCCUCAGCCCCCAGGUCCCUCAGGGACUGUGCUGGUCUUUGAUGGGCUGUUCCUGGCACUUCAGGUGGUUCUCCCUGACUUCCCACCAUGCCUCCCUCCCACAGCUCUCAUCCUGACCGUCUCCAGCCAGGUGGACCCUCAGUUUGCAGCACCAGGAGGCUGAACCAGAAAAAGUAAAGAAGUGGCCAGAAGUAGAGGGUUUAGUGGUAUCAGUUAAGGGAUUAAAGUUGUCUUUUACUCAACAGUCUUAUAUUGAGCACUUAACUUGUGGCAGGAUCUUUGCUAAGACACAUGUGAUAAACCAGAGUGAUGGUGCCAACCCUCUAGGGCUAUUGCUUAAUGCAAUCAGUUCUAUAGAAGUAAAAUAAUCAUAAUAGCUACUAGGUACUUAUUUGAAAUUUGUUUCCCAGGCACUGUGCUAAGUUGCUUUAUGGGGAAUUUCUUACUUGAUUUUCAUAAUAAUAUUAUGAAAUAGGUGCUAUUAAAACCUUCCUGAGGGUGUAAGUACAGCAUGGUGACUCUAGGUAAUAACACCUCUUUGUAUAUUUCAAAAUUGCUAAGAGAGUGCAAGUUAAGAUUUCCCAUUCAAAGAAAAAACAACUUAGAACUUUGUGUGGUAAUGGAUGUUAACUAGACCUGUGGUGGUGACCACUUCACAAUAUAUACAAAUAUGGAAUCUUUACAUUGUACACCUGAAACUAAUAUAAAGUUAGGGGUCAAUUAUAGCUCAAAAAUUACAAAAGAGGAUAAACAAAUUUGGGGGAUCUAAUGUAGAGCAUUACAUUAGAUGGUCUUCCUAGUGGUCACAUAUAGAUGUGACAGCUGGACCAUAAAGAAGGCAGAUGGCCAAAGAGUUGAUGCCUUCGAACUGUGGUGUUGGAGAAGACUCCUGAGAGUCCCUUGGACAGCAAGGAGAUCAAACCAGUCAGUCUUAAGGGAAAUCAACCCAACUGCUCAUUGGAAGGACUGAUGCUGAAGCUGAAGCACUAGUAUUUUGGUUACCUGCCAUGAACAGCCGACUCAAUGAAAAAGUCCCUGAUGCUGGGAAAGAUUGAGGGCAGAGGAGAAGAGGGCAUCAGAGGAUGAGAUGGCUGGAUGGCAUCACUGAUACAAUGGACGUGAACUUGGGCAAAGUUCGGGAGAAUUUUGGAGAGAUGGUGAGAGACAGGGAGGCCUGGCAUGCUGCAGUCCAUGGGGUCACUGAAUCAGAACCGACAGGGCAACUAAACAACGGCAACAAUGUCCAGCAUGGGGAUUAUAGCUAAUACUGUAUUAUAUACUUAAAUGUGCUGAGAAAGUAGAUCUGAAAUGUUCAGACCACAAAAAAGAAAUGGUAAUUAUGUGACAGGAAAGCAUGUUAGCUAAGCCACUCUAGUCAAUCUGGUGAUAUAUAAGUGUAUAAUCCACAUGUUGUACACCUUAAACUUAAGCAAUGUUCUAUGUCAAUUAUAUCUCAAGAAAGCUGAAAA
Molecule: long non-coding RNA, 2239 nt
Organism: Cervus elaphus (red deer)
Lineage: Eukaryota; Metazoa; Chordata; Mammalia; Artiodactyla; Cervidae
Exons: 3
Source: RefSeq, a predicted model, not a curated record